CCUACGGGGGACUGCAGUGAGGAAUAUUGGUCAAUGGACGAGAGUCUGAACCAGCCAAGUAGCGUGAAGGAUGACUGCCCUAUGGGUUGUAAACUUCUUUUAUAUGGGAAUAAAAUGUUCCACGUGUGGGCUUUUGUAUGUACCAUAUGAAUAAGGAUCGGCUAACUCCGUGCCAGCAGCCGCGGUAAUACGGAGGAUUCGAGCGUUAUCCGGAUUUAUUGGGUUUAAAGGGAGCGUAGGUGGAUUGUUAAGUCAGUUGUGAAAGUUUGCGGCUCAACCGUAAAAUUGCAGUUGAAACUGGCAGUCUUGAGUACAGUAGAGGUGGGCGGAAUUCGUGGUGUAGCGGUGAAAUGCUUAGAUAUCACGAAGAACUCCGAUUGCGAAGGCAGCUCACUGGACUGCAACUGACACUGAGGCUCGAAAGUGUGGGUAUCAAACAGGAUUAGAUACCCUGGUAGUC
This 460-nucleotide ribosomal RNA is filed under the name uncultured bacterium. RNAcentral describes it as "partial 16S ribosomal RNA". It matches the Rfam family "Bacterial small subunit ribosomal RNA", at positions 338 to 795 of the family's 1533-position model. The record is from RNAcentral.